Molecule: ribosomal RNA, 229 nt
Filed under: uncultured bacterium
Lineage: Bacteria
Description: partial 16S ribosomal RNA
Rfam family: Bacterial small subunit ribosomal RNA
Source: RNAcentral
CGCGUAGGCGGCUAUAUAAGUCGGAUGUGAAAGCCCACGGCUCAACCGUGGAAGUGCAUCUGAAACUGUAUGGCUUGAGUAUGGGAGGGGAAAGUGGAAUUCCCGGUGUAGAGGUGAAAUUCGUAGAGAUCGGGAGGAAUACCUGUGGCGAAGGCGACUUUCUGGCCCUUAACUGACGCUGAGACGCGAAAGCGUGGGGAGCAAACAGGAUUAGAUACCCUGGUAGUCC